This 73-nucleotide transfer RNA is filed under the name Sceloporus magister (desert spiny lizard). RNAcentral's name for it is "tRNA-Asn". Lineage: Eukaryota; Metazoa; Chordata; Lepidosauria; Squamata; Phrynosomatidae. The record is from RNAcentral.
CAGACAGAAGCCCGCUGGAUUAGGUGUUUAGCUGUUAAUUAAUUUUUUGCGGGAUCGAGGCCCGCCUGUCUAG